This 125-nucleotide small RNA is filed under the name Marmota monax (woodchuck). The record is from RNAcentral. Lineage: Eukaryota; Metazoa; Chordata; Mammalia; Rodentia; Sciuridae.
GCUGGGCGCGGUGGUGAAUGCCUAUAAUCCCAGGAGCUUGGGAGGCUGAGGCAGGUGGAUCACGAGUUCAUAGCUAGCCUCAGCAAAAAUGAGGCACUAAGCAACUCAAUGAGACCCUGUCUCUA